Molecule: non-coding RNA, 31 nt
Filed under: Mus musculus (house mouse)
Lineage: Eukaryota; Metazoa; Chordata; Mammalia; Rodentia; Muridae
Source: RNAcentral
UACUUCAAGGCCUGUGGAAUGGAUGCUCUGU